Molecule: ribosomal RNA, 430 nt
Filed under: uncultured bacterium
Lineage: Bacteria
Description: partial 16S ribosomal RNA
Rfam family: Bacterial small subunit ribosomal RNA
Source: RNAcentral
GUGGGGAAUAUUGCACAAUGGGCGCAAGCCUGAUGCAGCAACGCCGCGUGAGGGACGACGGCCUUCGGGUUGUAAACCUCUUUUAGCAGGGAAGAAGCGAAAGUGACGGUACCUGCAGAAAAAGCACCGGCUAACUACGUGCCAGCAGCCGCGGUAAUACGUAGGGUGCAAGCGGUGUCCGGAAUUAUUGGGCGUAAAGAGCUCGUAGGCGGUCUGUCGCGUCUGCGGUGAAAGCUGGAGGCUCAACCUCCAGCCUGCAGUGGGUACGGGCAGACUAGAGUGCGGUAGGGUAGAUUGGAAUUCCUGGUGUAGCGGUGGAAUGCGCAGAUAUCAGGAGGAACACCGAUGGCGAAGGCAGAUCUCUGGGCCAUAACUGACGCUGAGGAGCGAAAGCAUGGGGAGCGAACAGGAUUAGAAACCCCUGUAGUCC